UACGUAGGGUGCAAGCGUUGUCCGGAAUUAUUGGGCGUAAAGAGCUCGUAGGCGGCUAGUCGCGUCGACUGUGAAAACCCGGGGCUCAACUCCGGGCCUGCAGUCGAUACGGGCUGGCUUGAGUGCGGUAGGGGAGACUGGAAUUCCUGGUGUAGCGGUGAAAUGCGCAGAUAUCAGGAGGAACACCGGUGGCGAAGGCGGGUCUCUGGGCCGUAACUGACGCUGAGGAGCGAAAGCGUGGGGAGCGAACAG
This 252-nucleotide ribosomal RNA is filed under the name uncultured bacterium. RNAcentral's name for it is "partial 16S ribosomal RNA". It matches the Rfam family "Bacterial small subunit ribosomal RNA", at positions 524 to 775 of the family's 1533-position model. The record is from RNAcentral.